This is a non-coding RNA of Shinella sp. HZN7, 69 nucleotides long. The record is from Rfam. Lineage: Bacteria; Pseudomonadati; Pseudomonadota; Alphaproteobacteria; Hyphomicrobiales; Rhizobiaceae.
AGUCAAGAGUCCUUGGCUUCAUUUUGGGCGAGCGGAUUUCUUUUGCCUUUUGCAAGGUGAAGGAAAAUG